Non-coding RNA from Ictidomys tridecemlineatus (thirteen-lined ground squirrel), 4123 nucleotides. The record is from RefSeq and is a predicted model, not a curated record. NCBI's taxonomy places the organism in Eukaryota, Metazoa, Chordata, Mammalia, Rodentia, Sciuridae.
CCAAGGCCAUUCUGCCCCUGAAGUCGGGGGUGAGGGAAGGGGCCGGUCCCUCCUGCCGCCUAACAGGGUCCUGGGAGUCCUCUCCUCGCCUUCAGGAACUGACGGCGUUUACCCGACACACCACCUGCCUGCCCCUCAGUCUCGUGCCACCCCAUGUCCCCUGGGGAGCUCUUCAGGCACCCUGCCACCACAUCACAGCAGCCACACCAAGGGCAGGCGCCACCCGCGCCAGUCACUAAAAUAGCAGAGGAAACGCGGCACCAGGAGGGAGGAAAGGAAGUCCCCACUGGUAGCACCGACCCGGAGCCCGGGAGGCUGUGUCCCUGUGCGCCUUGUCAGGCAGACGCGUCCUCUGUCCCCAAGACCACACACACUCUGCCUUGGGCAGUGGUGACCGUCUCCAGUGCCAUCUGUUUGGGGAUGCCACCUUUCUCAUGGCCUGCCGUUGUCCUCCACCCACGUCCUCUGGAUGGCCGGUGUGCGUGCCAUCCGUGGCCUUCAUGAGCAGUGACCGCCCAUUCCUGGUCCUUCUGCAGCCUGCGGAGCCUCCGUCCACCACCAGGGGACCCGACGGCUCUCCACGCCGGGCUCUCCUCCUGCUGACCCAUCAGUGCGGGGGGUGACCUGAGGUGGAGCCACACAGAGGAACCCAGAUCCCGUCGUCCUUCUUCAAGACCCGUCCCCAGGCGUCCAGAGUGACGUGGGCGUUCCCGCGAUGGCUCUGCCGUUCUUCCCGAGAGGCCCGGGAGCCUCGGGGCGCGGGGGGAGCCUCUGAAUUCGGUCAGAGUGUGCGUGGAGAAGCAGCCAGAACAGAGGGGUUGCCGUGAAGUGGGUGAGCAGCCACGGAGGCCAACGGAGACGAUUCUAUGCCACUUAGCCUUGUCCCCUCUGCUCCGGGUCCCGGGGUUAGGAGCUGGGAGACGCGGCCCCCGGGGUUUGUAAGUGCCUCUCUGGGGCGGGAAGCGGGUCUGGACCUCCGGUCCUCCUGCUGGCCUUCCACUUUUGGCUGGUUACAGGACUGGCUUCCUUUCUGUCUCCCUCCUCCCCCUCGGCCUCUGAGUCCCUGGACCUAGAGGACUCCUUGGGUGGCCCACCCCUGAGGGUCCCAGUUUCCACCAUCACCAACCUCCUAAUGGGUGCCCCUCAGCAGAGGCCCGCCAGGAUCCGUCGACGUCUGUCUGCGGGUCCCACGUGCGGAGACGGCUCGCCCUUGCGCAUCCGAAGGGACCCACCAUCCGUGCAGGGACCUGCCAUCAACCCUGAGCCCGUUCCUCCUCCUGGCCGGCAGCCACCAAGAAGGUGGGACCCCUCACGGGAUCGGGGAAGACCCAACCCUCUGUGUGGAACCUUCCAGAUUCUUCUUUGAGCAGAAAACCAUCUCUGUUGAUUUACUGGGCUGGGGUUAGUGUUUCUGCUACGUGAAGCUCAACACGCUCCACACAGGGAUGAAGCCUCACACCCUGAAGUCACCGUCACAGAAGACUCUCUCUGUUGAACGUCAGCUUGCUGGGACCUGUCAGGUCAGGAGAGAGGUCAUUCAUGGGCCUGAAGGUAAGGUCCAACAAUUGAUUUCGUGUCUUGCUCAUGAUCACAGUAUGGGGAAGUGGCACGUACACCCGGGGCUUCACACCACGGCCACUCUGGCUUUGUCCCACCCGUCCUGUCCACUAUCCUGUCUUCCGUCCUACCGAGAAACCAAGCACAAAACCACCCAGGUGUAGCGGCUUCUUUGGGUCUUCAUUUUCCCAGGAAAGCUCCUGUGUCAUCACACCUCCUACUAAAUAUGCUGCGUGCUAUUCUCUUGUUAACCCCCGACCCCUGACCGAGUUACAGAUGAGGAAACAGGCUCAGAGAGGGGAAGUAACCUGCCUGAGAACACACAGCCAGAAGCAGCAGAGCUGGGAUUUGGACCCAGGUCCACCUGGCUCGUCUGCUCCACUUCAGCCUCCCUACAGGACCUGGAUGUGGACGGAACCAGCCUACGUGGAAUGUUCCGCACAGCACCCAGCAAGCACCACGUGAUCCAUAAACGCACGAUGCUCUUCCUCGCUUGCUUUCCUCGAGUUUCUCUCUGAGCAGAGAUCGUAACCCCCAGCAGGUGCCCGUGGAGGACGGCACCCGGUGCCACCAGCCAGGACCCUGGAGCCUGCAGGCCCUGGAGAUCUCCAGCGCAUGCUCUCGGAGCCCGUCUCCCGCGUGGGGCUCCCGGCGGGGCGUGUCCUGCCCCCCGCCCGCCCCCCGCCCACCCGCAGCAGCCUUACAGGGCCCUUUAGUUCUCCCCCUUUGCCACUCGGCUGUGAUUUGCAGGUGAGUGGCCCUGUGGACACAGGGCUGUGACCACUGCUCAGGGAAAGGAAGGGACACAUCCCAGUGGAGGUGACGUUUGACAAGUGGCUAGCCUGUCCACAGGAGGGGGGUGAGGACAGAAAGGAAGGGCCAGUGGACACAGGAGACCCCCGAGCAACUUGAAGCCUGGGGGUGCUCUCGGCGGGACUGAAGGAGAGGGGGAUGGGAGGCGGGCCACACUGCGGGGGACCCCGACACCUGCCAGGGGCCAGAGGACAGGGUGCAGCUGCAGGCAGCUCACAGCCUGUGAGGUCCUCAGAUAGGGGUCAGGAAGGCGGGGAGGCUGGGCGGGGGUCAGGGCUCAUGCCCUGGGUGGGAAGAGAGCGCAGGCCGCCUGUAAGCUCCCGCCCCCAGAACUCUGACAGUCCUUGUCCUGAGGAGCCGAGGCUCUAGGUACCCAGGUUAAGCGAUUCCACCAGUUUAACGGUUGAGUGUCUCCCUCGCCCCCUGUUUUUUGAUAAGAGGAUUGACCUCGGGGGCACUCGACCACUGAGCCCCAUCCCCAGUCCUAUUUUGUACUUAGAGACGGGGCCUCACUGGGCUUGACCGGGUUUUCUUCUGCAGGACUGGACACCCCAGGUCCCCCUCAGGUGAACUUUACUGGGGUCCGAGUCCCUGCAGCCCUUUCCUCCUGAGCUUCUCAAAGCCUAAGCGGUGGCAAGCUCACGAGCCCGCGAUCCGCGCGUGCCGAGGGGCCUGGUGGCUCGGAGCCUGUCAUUUGGAGAGUCUGUGAUCAAUUUCAGGAAAGGUGGCGGGCGGAAGGCAGGGGCAGGCCUGGGGGCACGCACCAGAGCCCUCCCUGCCCCCACCCGUGCCCACUCCCCGCAGGCUGGUACCAACGAGGAGCGAGUUCAGGGAUGACGGGCUGCUGAUUGGCUGCAAGAGAGGAUGCGCUGGGUGGGGGCUGGGGCGUUGUGGGCCUGUUCCAGGGCUGGGACGGCAAAGGCAAGGGAACAGCGGCACAUUCACAGAGCAUGUCACACAAGGUGGCAGAUGGAAGAUGGAGCGUUUCAGUUCGUGUUUGAAACUGGACCAUGUUGACGCAGUCCCCUGGCUGCUGUGUGGUCACAAUGACAUAAAAACAGGGGUCGGCUGGCUUGUUCUAGAAAUGGCCAGAUGGUUAAGAAACGUCGGCCUUGUGGACCAAGCUACCUGGUCACCUUUAGGGCAGAUACAGAGGCGUUGCACAGGAGCACGAAGCUUGGCGCCUAAUUGGAUGACAAAGUAACGCACCCCUUAUCGCGCCUUAAAGCCGUGCCAUUUGGCCAUGGAUGGGUAAACAAAGUGUGUGUGCAGACUAGAAAACUCUUUAGCCUUUCGAAGGAAGGGAAUCUUGCUACAAUGUGAAUGAACCCCGAGGACACUUGUGCUACGAGAAAUAGUCACAAAUAGACCAAUGGCGCUACAUGGGGAGCCCGGAGCAGUCAAGUUCAAGAAUGGCGGUGACGGGGAGAAGGGGGUGGUAGAAGUUGAAGGGCCCAGAUAGAUUUUUUUUUUUUGCCAGAUAGAUGGAUGGACCGUGGCCGUGGGUGCACGGCAUCGAACCUGGUGCCACUGAACUGCACACUUGACAAUGGUGACCAUGGAACAUUCGUUACCUGUAUUUUAUCACAGUUUUUAACAAAGCACGUUCCUUGCUGUGACAUGAUGGCUGUGCACUGGUAAGAAACCAAGAGGCUGCCCAAGGGGGACACGCCUGUGUCAACUCCUAGCUGUGCCACGGUGGCCUGCAGUGAGCUGAGCAGUCACACAAAGCCACGGCAGCCCGCGUCUGGGU